RNAcentral lists this long non-coding RNA (3116 nucleotides) under Felis catus (domestic cat). Its description in RNAcentral is "lncRNA (ENSFCAG00000051791.1)". Lineage: Eukaryota; Metazoa; Chordata; Mammalia; Carnivora; Felidae. The record is from RNAcentral.
CGCCCACACAACAAAGUCACAAAACCGUUCCCAAUACAUGCUCCAUCUAAACUUCAUCAAUAUAAACUUCCCUGUCUACAACCAAAUCGACCACGUAAGUGUCCACUGAAGGUUCAUCAAUUCUGUCCACUGCCACCAAGACCAUGGCCAAGUGGACAACAUCCUCAUACACACAACCAACAGCAUCACCACCCUCAUUUGCCUCAUAAGCCACCCGGUAAACCACGGCCUCCAACAAGGCCAACAGGAACAGAAGACAUCACAACUGAUGGCCCGACCAAUGCAAUCACUGCAGCAGCUGGAACUAUUAGUAAUUUAGCCACCAUUGCUAGUACCAUGUCCGAUAGCACAACAUCUAUAUCAGUUGCCCCAACUAGUCCAUCUGCCACUGCAACUAAGGCAUCAAAUGCAACCACCAGAGCACCUGAAACUCUACCCCCAGGGGCUGCCACCACAGUCCAAGUGACACCAACCAUGAACUCAGCAACUGGUGCUGCCUCCACUACAACUGCCCCAGCAUCUGUGGUCACCUCCAAGACACCUUCAGUGGAAUCCACAUCCCAAGAGUCUGCUGCUUCCAGUGCUGCCACCUCCAUAAACCCAGGGGCUGACUCCACAGCCCUCUUAACCUCUGCUUCCACCACUGCACCUGAUUUCACCACAAACAGCUCAGAAGCUGAAGCAACCACAACAGAUGACACCACUCUCCCAAUAAUUUAUGAUUCCACCACUCCAGCUGCCUCUACGACUUCGGCAAACACAGUCCUUGCUACUACUGUUGUCACCACUGCUGCGGCCUCAACGCCCACAUAUGUUGGAGCCACAGGUGCAACAGCCCUCACAACCCCGGAGACUGGGGCCACUAGCCCUGGUGCUACUUCAUUAUCAGCCAGUGCUACCACAACUCUUGCUUCUGCUACCAUGGAAAUAUCCAGAACUUCGACCAUUGCUUCUAGUUCUGUCACAACCCCAGCUACACGUGGUGCCACAACCACAGGUGCACCAAGUUCUGCAACCACCAGUGCACCUGGUACUGCCACCACAGCUGCAUCGAGUUCUGCCAUCACACCAAUGGAUGAGACUACCGCUGAAACAACCAGUGACACAACCACUGAAGCUACUUCCCCAGCGAAUGAGGACACCACUGAAACAGCCGAUGACACAACCACUGAAGCUACUUCCCCAGUGAAUGAGGACACCACUGAAACAGCUGAUGACACAACCACUGAAGCUACUUCCCCAGCGAAUGAGGACACCACUGAAACAGCCGAUGACACAACCACCGUAGCUGCCACCACAACUUCACUCAAUGGGGUAACAACUGGUGCAACAGACUCCUCCACAAUCUCAGAAACAGACUCGUCAAUCACUGCUACUACAACCACAGGAUCCUCAAACCCAAAAUCUGUGGGGACAAUGACCACCACCACAGCAGCGGCCUCUUCAACCCCAUCACUGGAUACGACCACCCGUGGUGCAGUCACAACUUCAGCCACUAAUGAUACAGCUGCAGCUGCUGGCACAACGGUAGCAGGUGUUGCCACUUCAACCCCUGUGACUUCAGCCUCCACUGUUGAACCAGUUGUGCUGACCAGUCUGGGUCAAACUACCACCCAGGCUUCUAGAACUACAACUCUAGGGGAAGAGGCUACCACUGAACCGACCAAUGACACAACCACUGAAGCUGCCACAACUGCACCUGCUGAUGCCACGACCUCCACAGCUAACCCUUCAACCUCAGCAGUAGAUUCCACAUCUCCAGCCAUGAGUACAACUGAUUCGGCUACAACCAUAAUAUCUGGAGUAGUUACCAGCACAGCCACAGUAGUCUCCAUAACUCCAAGGGUUGAUGCCACCACAAGUGUCACUACCUCACCUUCCAUUGCUGGUACCACACCUCCUUCUGGUGCCACCACAGCUGUGGCAAGUGCUGCUUCUACUACUGAAUCUGGUGCACUGGCCAACAGUGAAACCACUGUCCGGACCUCCGAUGCUACAACCCCAGGGGAUGAGACCACCCCUGAGUCGGCAAAUAAUACAACCACAGAAGCUGCUACCACUUCAACUGAAGGUGCCACAACCCAUUCUGCUGACUCCACAACCUUAGAAGUAGGCACUACAUCUGUUGCUACUACUGCAAUGGCUACAUCAUCUGCAACCACAAUUCCUAUGACAGCUACCACUGCAACAGCUGCAAGCUCCACCAGAGCUGCAACUACACCGUCAGCCUCAGAGGCUACCACUACUGCCAGUACAAGCAUACCAGCCACCACCCUCCCUGCUGACCCUGGUUCUUCAGCCAGUGAGGCUACAACUCCAGUGGAUGAGGACACUACAGAAACUUUAGGUAUCACUGCCACUACAACUCCUUCAGGUGUCACCUCCACCACUGUACCUGAAGAUUUAACCACCGAAUUGGACUCUGCCACCACAGAACCCGAAACAGCUGUCUCCACUGAUGAGGUCACUGCUGCCACACCAGAUGAUACUACUCUCGCCACAACAAGUACCGAUGCUGCUGCGACUCCUUCUGCAGAAUCCACAGACCCUCCUGAGGUUUCCACACUUGCAGCAGAUGCUACCACCUCACCUCCAGAAGGGAUUUCCACAGCUCCAGCUAUCACAACAGUAGCAGCAACUACCACACCUGAAACUAAUGCCAUUAGUACUGCCCCAGUGACAACCACCAGUCUCGCAACUACAGUCCCCACAAAUACAGGCUCAGCUGGAACCACCUCUGUUGUUGACAGCAGCAUACAAUCAUCACCUGCUACUGUGACCACAACCAGUAUACCUACAACUGGCCUUGACACUACUUCCCCAUAGUAAGAGCAAUGCAGUGGUGCAUCUCGAGCAUCUUGAAAACAGGUAAAUCAUGCAUGCAAAGAAUUAGAUGAAGAAAUUCAAUAGUGCUCUAUAUUUCUCUAAACACCUUACUUUAAUAACUAGUUACUCUUGAUAUGCAUACAUUUUUAUUCUUUGCAAUUCUAUGAGAGAAAACAGUCUCUUAUUUUGUAUAUAGGAUAUAGAGAUAUGGAAUUUGCUCAAAUUCAGAAUACAUGGUGGCAAAACCAGGACUAAAAUCCAAGUGUCUUCAUACUUUAGCCAACAGUCAG